GGGCUGACCACACUGUGAACGAGAGAUUGGGCUUCCUGGAGAGGAAAGAAGGGCUGCUGGUGAGGCCUCAGUAGGUUCAUCCCAGAAAGGGGUUGAUGGCAAGGAUCAGCUGGGACAUGUUGCAAAACUCAGUAGCCGAAAUCAACACUGGCUGAUUUCUCAGCAAAGCUGAAUGUCCCUUGUGGGCCAGCGGAGAUUGCGGGGGGUGGGGGGGAUCUGCCCCUCAUGGCUACUCAGGGACUCAGAUUCAUGGAAGGAUUGCUUUUCCCCCAAUCCCUUUAUCGGAGGCAGGAGCUGGGGGGGAGGGAGGAGGCAACCCUGCAACAGCUUUGGUGGGGUCCCCUGCCCCACCCGGAUCACCCAGGAAGUGCACCAAGGCACCCAGGAAGCACAGCUCUCCCACCUGCCAGCAGGUGCAUCGGGGAGUGGUGGGUGGGGCAGGGCGAUCUCGGACUUUCCUUCUGGCUCUGCCGGGAGCGCCUGCAGCCGGGCCUCUGUUCCGCCUUAUCAGCAGGUGCAUCUCUGAGCAGGAGGUGAGGCAAGGCUCUGCUCCUUCCUGGUGUCACUGCCACGGGGCGGGGCUGGCAGAGAAACCACCAGGUGUGGCCGUGGGAAAGUCCCUCCAACACUACAGAAACAUGGAAUUUCCUGGUUGUCCGGCUGCGUUCUCGGAGCCACAACCCCCCCCCCCCCACACACACACCCUGGCUGGGAGGUUGGCGUGUUCCAGUGUCUCUGAGGACCAUGCGCAAAUCCCUCGAGAUGUGUGGGUCUCAGGGCCCCCAGUAUCUGCCCACAAAAUGCCUUCCAGGCUCCUGCGCUCUCCAAAUAUCGCUCCCGGCCACGCGUCUCUCCUUGGGUCUCCAGGGAGCGCAUGCCCUGGUUCGGCGCGUACUCUUGGGCCUCUGUGCGCUCACUGUGCUGAGUCCAAGGAGUGGCUGGACCUGGACAGGGGGCCUGAGCCUCCUGAGUCUCCCAGCUGUGGGUGCUGGCUUCCCAGGAAGCUCUCCACCAGGCCGAGUUGUCCUGCCUGCUCUGUAGACGCUGGGCAGAGCUUUGAACUUCUCUGCUCCAGUGAACGCAAUCGGGGCAGGGAGGCACCCAGCCGCGUGCCACUGCAGCUCAGGCCUCUGGACCUCACACUCUUCCUCCAGCCGGCAGGUGUGGUUGGCAGCAGCCAAGCUGCCUGUCUCUUUAAGAGAGAGAGAGCGAAAGGGAGCCCGAGGGAGCAAGAGAGAACGAAAUCAGGAAGUGUGAGAGCUGCGAGCCACCGCACUGUGCUGUGCCGAGCUGAGUGUCCCGCGGAAACCCCACAGCCCCCGCUCCUGGGGCGCCACCGGGCCGCUUCAUCGGGCGCUGCCUCUGGGCCCAGGAUGCUGUGGAGCUGCCACUCAGCUCCUGGGCUCGCCGCCGCACACAGGAAGCCGGACACACGCUCGCCAGGGAGAGGCUGGGCCUGACUCCAGCUCAGAGCGUGCGGCUGUCUUUCGGGGCCGGAGAUGCAGAGCACG
RNAcentral lists this long non-coding RNA (1511 nucleotides) under Oryctolagus cuniculus (rabbit). RNAcentral describes it as "lncRNA (ENSOCUG00000015433.4)". Lineage: Eukaryota; Metazoa; Chordata; Mammalia; Lagomorpha; Leporidae. The record is from RNAcentral.